Molecule: non-coding RNA, 14057 nt
Organism: Nothobranchius furzeri (turquoise killifish)
Lineage: Eukaryota; Metazoa; Chordata; Actinopteri; Cyprinodontiformes; Nothobranchiidae
Source: RefSeq, a predicted model, not a curated record
CACACCUUUUCUUUUCCUUUCUCUUUCACCUCUGUCUCCGUGUCUGGUCGGAAUUACAAAGCAUUCAAAAACAAUAACAAUAAAGUUUUAAGUAUCAGGCGUGACAUUAAAAGCAGACGCUUUAAUGCUCCACCUGAGAGUAAAUCUGUAAGGCUUGUUACCAGCAUUCAGACAUCCAUUCUGCUUGCUUCACAGCCAGACAGGACCCUGUAAAAAAAUAAUAAUAAAAAAAAAGAUUUGUUUUGUUAAUGUAAUUAAAUCUGCCUAAUAAUUGUAACAGGACUGUAAUUUUUCAUCUGUUCAUAGUUUGGUAUUACUCAAACAUUGAUAAAUGGCAAUUUAUCAUUGUACAUUUAUGCAUUUCAGAUAUUUGUGAACGUAGGCUACUAUACAAUGUGGGCAGACAUGUACCUAAACUGACACGUUUUCUUAUUUUUUAUUCUUCAUAUGUAUUGGUUUUCAGGUUGACCACAUCUUCGGUAAACAAAUUAACUGGGUAAAUAAUGGAAUACAUCAGAGACUUUUAUACAUAGUCUGCAACCUGACCUAGGCUUGCUUUCAGCAUUGUGUAGGAGGUGUUGUAAUGGCACAGAGCUCCAUACAGCACUCAGGAUUUAGUGUGCUAGACACAGAGGCCUCCGGCAAUCAGAGGCAUCCAUCAUAGCCAUGGUUUAUAGAGUCAUGGAAGAUAGUUGGGGACAGUCGUACAGAGACAAAAAGACAAACAGACAAAAGAAGACAUUGACAGAGCGAGGCAACUAGACAAAGUGACAAAUAUAGAGAGUUGGGUGUGUAAAAUGCAUGCAUAUGAAGAAGACUAAAAUGUUGGUGUAAUAGCAUUAGUCGAGGUGGGAUUUACUCAGAAGAAGCUUGGCUGUCCCAUUGGAUGAAUAGGUGUAAUCAUAGUUCAGCAGCAGUCAUUAACAGCCCGCCUCUGCAAUGCUGUUAACAUGAUGAAAUUACGGUGCAUUAAAUCUUGAAGGAGUGUAAUUUCUCCCUGGGCUGCCACCUUACCGUGGUGUAGGGGUAUGAGUGUCUAGGAGCUAAGUUGUCUGAGGCUUUCUGCCUCUGGUAGGGUCACCCAUGGCAAACAAGUCCUAGGUAAGGGAUCAGACAAAGAGCAGCCCGAAGACCUCUUAUGAUGAAUUAUAUAAAUAGAAACGGUGUUCCCUCUCUCGGACUUGGGUCACCGUGGCCCCCCUCUGGAGCCAGGCCUGGAGGUGGGGCACGUUGGCGAGCACCUGGUGGCCAGGCUUUCACCCAUUGAGCCUGGCUGGGCACAGCCCGAAUAGGAAACGUGGGUCCCCCUUCCCAUAGGCUCACCACUCUUGAGAGGGGCCAAAGGGGUCGGGUGCAGUGUGUGACGGGUGCUAGUCGAGGGCGGGCCCUUGGCGGUCUGAUCCUUGGCUACAGAAGCUGACUCUUGGCACAUGGAAUGUCACCUCUCUGGUGGAGAAGGAGCCUUAGUUGGUGUGUGAGGUUGAGAGGUUCCGACUAGAUAUAGUCAGACUCACCUCAACGCAUGGCUCUGGCUUUGGAACCAGUUUCCUUGAGAGGGGUUGGACUUUCUACCACUCUGGAGUUGCUCCCACUGAGAGGCGCCGAGCAGGGGUGGGCAUACUAGUUGCCCCCCAUCUUGGUGCCUGCAUGUUGGGGUUUACCCCAGUGAAUGAGAGGGUAGCCUCCCUCUGCCUACGUGUGGGGGGGAUGGGUUCCGACUGUGGUCUGAGCUUAUGCAAGAAAAUACAUUUCAGACCACCCACCAUUUUUGGAGACCUUGGAGGGGGUGCUGGAAAGCGCUCCUUCCGGUGACUCCCUCGUUCUGCUGAGGGACUUUUAACGCUCACAUGGGCAAUGACAGUGAGACCUGGAGAGGUGUGGUUGGGAGGAACGACCCCCCCCUGAUCUGAAUUUGAGUGGUGUUUUGUUAUUGGACUUCUGUGCCAGCCAUGGAAUGUCCAUAAUGAACACCAUGUUCAGACAUAAAGGUGUCCAUAUGUGCUCUUGGCACCAGGAUACCUCAGGCCGCAGCUCGAUGAUUGACUUUGUUGUUGUUUUGUCUGACCUGCGGCUGCAUGUCUUGGACACUCGGGUGAAGAGAGGGGCGUAGCUGUCAACUGACCACUACCUGAUGGUGAGUUGGCUCAGAUGGUGGGGGAGGAUGCCGGUCAGACCAGGCAGGCCCAAACGUAUCACGAGAGUCUGCUGGGAACGUCUGGCAGAGUCUCCUGUCAGAAGGAGCUUCAAUUCCCACCUCCAACAGAACUUCCAAAAGGCUCCGGUGGAGGCAGGGCACACUGAGUCUGAAUGGACCCUGUUCUGUGCCUCCAUUGUUGAGGCGCUCGACCGGAGCUGUGGUCGCAAGAUCGUCGGUGCCUGUCGUGGUAGCAACCCCUGAACCCGCUGGUGGACACCAGCGGUUAGGGAUGCUGUCAAGCUGAAGAAAGAGUCCUAUCAGGUCUUUUUGGCCUGUGGGACUCCAGAGGCAGCUGACAGGUACCGGCAGUCCAAGCGGAACGCGGCUCGGGUGGUUGCCAAGGCAUAAACCCAGGCAGUGGAGGAGUUCGGUGAGACCAUGGAGCAAGACUUCCGAAUUCGGUACUUUUUAAGGUACCGACCAAAUUCCAUAUUACCGACCGAGCACCGACUCAUGUCAUUUCAAAUGUUUCCUCGUUUCGGUACCCGUCCUUCAUAACGAGAACUUGCCAAGACAGCUGCGCAUGCGCAAGAGCGUUAUGUCGUCGCUCGCUGCGAGCCAGUUGUAAACAGAGCAGCAUAGUAGAAAGAACGCACGCUAAAGCUUGGGUCCACUUCACAAAAUGUGAUGGGUAACUGGGUGAUAAUGAAACCAGCAACAACGAUCUAAGUGAGACAUCCUCAUCUGCUCCAGUAGGUAAAUAAAUUGUUUAAGAUAACGUUAGCUUGAUAUGUUAGCUUCCGUUUCGCUAAUGGUGCAUUCGCUUUCUCCUCGGAACUCCGAAUUUCCGACUAGAAGAACAUAAAAUUUGGCUUCACUUUACUAAAUGCGACGGGUGAUUGGGUGAAGAUGAAACCAGUGACAACGAUCUAAGUGUGAGGCAUCAUCGUUUUAAUCUGCUCCAGCAGUUAAGUAAACUGUUUAAGAUAACGUUAGCUUGAUAUGUUAGCUUCCAUUGCCACCGCUGUUAUCAGCUAAUGGUGUGUUCGCUUUCUCCUCGGAAAUUCUAACUUCCCAGUAGGAAAAAUCUAAUGAAAAAAGACGGCAAAAGGAAUGAAGAAGUAAAUUAUUUCACAGUAAAGAUGUCAGUUUAAUUAUCAGCUUAUAAAACUACAAGGGCGAUGUUAAAAUACAAACAGUUGAAUGUUAUUUAUCGUGAUAUUUAUCAAAUAUUGUUAUAUAUUGAGAAAAAUAUACAUUUAAUUAUAAAAGAGAAUUAAAAUAAUAAACACUCAAAAGUAUCGAAAAUUGGUACCGUUAAGUAUCGGUAUCGAUUCCUAGGUACCGGGAAUUAGUACCGAAUCGAUUCAAAUGUCAAAGGUACCCAUCCCUAGCCGUGAGCGGUUCUGGUGCUGUUUGGGCCGCAGCCGCUAGCAGCGCUACUUAAACAGUUAUCCUCCUAGUUUUUGUCUGGCUUGCCAGGCUAGUUGAUUCUCACACGAGGUGAAAAUCGGCUCAGGUUGUAUACUUAUUUUUUGCACAGGCAUUUGUUUACUGUGAUGUAAAGUUGAAGUGCUGCAGUUUUGAAAACUAAUUUUGAAUAAAACUUGAGGAAUAACUGGCAAUUGUGUGCUCAUUUUAAGAGGUAUUUCAUAUUUUAUAACAUGCUAUUUGAUAUAAUGGUUUACAAACACAAAAGGGUAAUUUAUUAGAGUACUCGAUUAAUCGAUAAAAGAUUCGAUAGAGUACUCGAUUACAAAAAUGUUCAAUAGCUGCAGCCCUAAUCAUCAGACUCCAGAGUAGAUAGACUUCCCAGAAAUAAAAGCUGAAUUUGCUGCUCUUUGUUCCGUAUGUAUUGAUCCACAGAAGAGACGGACAAACCAGUUUAAAGCUAUCACUGAUUCUUGCUUCCUAUCACUUUUUAUUUAUGAGGUUGCAACAUCUAUCACUUCUAAAUAUCAUUUGUAAGGAGCAUACAUUUUGCCUCAUGCAUCUUGAACGAUUUCAAGCCUUUAUUGUUUUGUUUGUGCUGCAGAGGUUUAUAAGAGUACUCGAUUAAUCGAUAGAAGAAUUGAUAGUACUCGAUUACAACAAUAUUCAAUAGCUGCAGCCCUAAAAUAAUGGGUUUAAUAGUAAAUGACCUGCAUUUGUAUAGCAUCCUCUAGAGUUCUGCAACCCCGCAAGGCGCUUUUAGAUACAAAAAGACAAAAGACUGGAAUUCACCGAUGAGCCUGAAUGUUUCAAACUGUAUUUUGACUUGUACAUUUCCUUUGACCUCCAUUCAUCUCUUACGUGUCCUAGGUAAAGGAUUAUUUUUCACUUCUAAUGCUUGAUGCUUCAAGUUUGCCUGAGUAUGUUAUUAAUCGAUUUUUUUUUGGUAUAAACAAGGCACCUAAGUAAACACUAACAAUAAGCUCUGUUAGUACCAUCACCCCGAAGUCUUUUUCAUUUGCAUCCUAUGGGAUAUCGAGAUGGACUUCCACAGCACUGGAUCAGCUUUAGAGCACAGGGCAGCUCAAAGAUGUUCAAAGCAUAAAGAUGUGUCAAUCCACAGAAAAUUAUUUGCUGAGAUGAUUAACAGACAAGGAAUAUUGCGAGGUUUACUCAAAGCUUCAUGAAGGGUUGUGCUAUUACUCAUUGAGGAUUCUCAGAGGUCAAAGAUGCAUACAGUAAAUAGCUUCAGUGCUUUUUAUCCCUCUACCUCCUUCCAUUCUGGUCUGCAUUACCACUAUUUGUCUCUUUCUGUCACCUAGCAGUCUGAAUGGGGAAUGAAAACGGUUUCCCAAAGAAGUACAUACUUUAAGCUUUCAAAUGUAAACACUACAUUUUGUCUUUUUUAUAAUAGGCAUUUUUAUUUGUCUUUUAUUUGGUGAUUUAUCAUGGGUCCUGGGAAAAUGUAAGCUCUAACAAAGUUUCAUAUGCUUGACUGAGGCUCAAAUAUCAGUUUCCAUUUGCAUAGUGACUUACUAUCCCGUAAUAUCCUAACAGUAGUAUACAGUAUUUUUCCUGCAUAUGUGCCAUUGUGCACAUACUGUCACCUCCUGACCCAGUUGCCUUGGUUACCACCUACUCAUCGUCCCUUUAGACUGUCAUGUUAGAUCGCAGAAGUGUUUUCUCUGAACACCAUUGAAAGAGACAGGGAGGAAGAGUGAGACAGGGUAUCAAAGGUAAUAUGAGAAGGAAUGUGGCCCAGUGCAAGUGGUCAUAGAGGCCCAAGGGAAAAUUUUACUCUUAGGUUUCUUCUUCUCUUUCUCAAAUGGUUACCAGCCUUACAUUCCUCUUUCCAAAAUCCACACAUGCCUUUUUCGUUGGGUACUGAGGAUAGAAUAAGUUCUACUACUAGUGGUAGUUAUGUCCAGCAUGUUUGGGAAUAUGAAGCUUACUUGGAAGGCGGGGUGAGGAGAGAGCCUCUAACAGAAGAGGUCAUAUUAAGCAACUCAGAUUCCAGGAAGUUAGACAUCUGACAUGCUAAAGGAUCGCAGUAUCUCUUUGUUACAAGCCAAACAGAGCAAGAUGAUAUGAAACCAAUACCCUCAAACAUCUGUUGUGACUUUAAUUCUCUCCGAUUCUCUCAUUCUGAAAUCAUAAAUUUUACCAACAAGUCCAAAAGUGAUUAAGUCAAUUUAUUCACAGGAGUGUCAGUUAAGCGCCAAUGGUCAUUCAAUAAUAUUCCUUGGUGAUGUGUAGAAAAUAGAAAGUAUCCAAGGAAGAUGGGCCAUUUUGGCAGCACUCCAUUUAUUGAAAAUAAGCACAGAGCCAAGAUAAAGCACAGUCAUGCCAACGAGAAAGCAGGAGACUUUGAUUUAGAUCUGUGUUACUCGGAAAUCACCAUUUCUGUCUCACUGUAUAGCUGGAGGGCACAGUGCCUGCUGGGUGAUCAAAUUAUCACAGAGCUAUGUUAUUUAAUGCUUGGGAAAAGAAGAAGAAGAGGCAAACUCAGAACAUUAUUUGUUAUAAUGUAGUUUUCUGAUGGGAAGCGUACAAAACAAGAAAAUUAACCAGAGUUUUUUAAAGUACAUUAAUAUUUAUCACAGCAAUGAAAUAUGUGCUUGAAUAAAGUUUUCUUAGGUAAAUAUUCACAUCUUUGCAGAGUGUAUUUGUGUAUUUACACAAAGAGGCAACUCAAAAGCAAUUCUGUUUAGACAUAUAGGAUGCUUGCAAAAUGCAUACAUUGUUGAUAUAAUACAGUUUUAAUGUUUACAUGGUUAUUUUAGCAACAAUAAUUAUGUAUUCCACAACUAGUUUAGCUGCAUGAGGUCACAACUAUGAUGCAUUCAUUUACCACCAAUAUCUCAAUGGUUAGUUGUCUCAUUGACAAUCCAGAGGCUGCUGAUUUGCUGGAAGUGUGAUGCAUUGGAAAGGAACCCACUUUCUAUGGAGCUAGGAUUGGGACAAUAUUCAGCGUAACUUGUACCAAGUUUUGUAACUUCGAACAUGUUUCAUCGCAUGUAACUUUGGAUUUGUAACUUGUAACUUUAGUUUUCUAACUUGUAAUUUUCAAUUUGUACUUGUAUUACUUGUUUUGUAACAGGACAUUUUCAUUUUGUACAAGUAUUUUUUUAUUUUGUAAAAUCAAACUUUUAUUUUGUACAUUUACUACUCUUUUUGUAACAUCAAACAUUCAUUCAGAAACAUGAAACUUUCGUUUUGUAACUAGCAGACUUCCAAAUUGAAAAAAUCAAGGUACAAGUUUGAAAUCGAAACUCUUAAAACACACAUUUCAUUCUACAGGUACAAACCUCUAAUCUACAGUGUUACAGAUCAUUUUGUCUCGAUUCAAGCGUCAGUGGGAGGAACUUGGGUUGAACCAAUUCGAGCACGAGUCUUAGCUACCAAUCACGUUUCUCGAAUUCCUGUCCAAUCAUUGGGAGAGGAGGGCAGGGUUCUGUCAGAGCUGUAGAGAGAGUUAUGACACGGAAUGCGGGAGUCAUGUGGUGCAUGUAGCUUUGAAUAGUUCCAAACAGCCCCCGCUGCUUCAUUGACUGCAGUUCAUUUUCGGUGUUUCGGAAGGAUUCUCUCCGGUAAGUUAAUGAAAUGUCAUCAUUUUGUUGCAUUGUGAAGCGUUAGCUAACCGCUUUGUACCAAAAUAAGCCAACGAUGAUAUUUUAUGUUGCCAGUUUUAGCUAGAUAACCUUUAAAGAGCUAACUGUGUGCAGCUUGUUGGUUGUGAGCAGGAGGAAGAGCUGUAGACAGGUUUCUUUCAGCUUGUUUGAUUCUACGUUUUAAAAACAUUCCCCACAGUUUGAAAUAGGUCAUAAAUUUUUUACAUUAUUAGUUUUAUUUGGGAUUUUUUGUACAAUACGUUGCUGGUUGCUGUAUCAACACGAACAUGCAUCAGAAAUGGAAGCACAAAUGAGAGACCAAUAAUAAAGAAAAUGUGAUUGUGAAGACAAGUAAUUAAUAUUUUUCAGUUAAUAACACUGACUACAACAAACUGCUGAAGCAUGAGACAAACAGGAUUACGAUCGUAAGAUAUGUUGUUUUGUUUUGUGAACUCAAGUAAUAAGAAUAAAAUUACGAUAUUUCAAGAAUAUUAGUCGAACAAUAACUUUUAAAAAUUAGACAUUUUCCAUAAAACUGCUCAUUUCCACUUGCUUUAUAAUAUUAGCAUUUGCAAUUUUGUUAUUAAGGAAUGACAAGAAAUAAGAAUUAACAAUAACACAAUUAUCAAUACAUAAAUGUCAAAGAGUUACUAAAACAAAAAUCUUAUGUAACCAUUAAAGGUUAAACUGUGUUGUGUGUCCAUCUUCAUGUUUUCAUAGUGGCUGAGCGGAGAGCUGACCAGGAACAAUGGUGGUGGCAAAUCCCAGUUGGGUCUGUGAUGGAGUGAUGCACGCCUGGAGUGAUUACCAUCUUAUCCACAGGUUCUAACAUCAGGCAGAGGGAUACUCAUGUCCUGAAGAAACCUGCAGCCUGUUGAACCCACUGAAAAACAGAGUUGUACUGAAAAACGGAGUUGUUUUCCAGCUGGGUUCCCUGGUUGCAUAGCCUGUUCCUUUCUCCUCCUGGCCCUGACGCCGGCUCCUCAUGGCUUCCUGGGAUGUCCCUCUCUCCUGAUACCAUCUCAUGUCCCCCCUCACUUUCCCUCAUUUGCCUCACUGCUGCUGCUGCUUUCCUCAUUCUCUGAAAUUAAAAUGGCACUGUUAGAAUAAAGAAUAAUUUUAAAAUAAAAUAAAUAAAAAUGUCUUAAUAUUUCUAAAGAUUUGUACCACAGUUUACUUGAGUACAAUAUGUGUGGUCACUGGUCAGUGGAUCAACAUGCAGAGGUUCUGCUGUACUUCUCACUGCGGGGUCCUUCCUCCUCCUUGGUUCAGGGCGAUGAACAAACACAGCAUCAGCCCUGAGUCUCACCUUGCCUUGCCUAAGCUUAGUAAACUGUCCCUCCUCAAAAUGUGCCUGUAGAGUGGUGUAUUACUGUAGUUUAUUUCCUGCCACAUUUGACAGUUUAAUUGCAGCCUUGUGCAGUUGAGAGCAGAACAUGUAGAGCCUUGAUAGAAAACAUUUGAGAGUGCACAUUAAACUCACUGCACACAGCUUUUUGUUAUUGUGAUCUCUGGUCAUGGUGAGGUUGCUCCUGCUGACUUGAGCCAACCAUUUUCUUCUUCUCUCUGCAUCUUUGGGUAAGCCAUAAUUCUGAUUCCUCCCUCAGACCGUUUGCUAUAUGCAGGGCAGCCAACCAUGUAAGAUAUUCAACCUAUAAAGGGAUUAUUAAAAUACUAUUUUUGUACACAUGGAAAUAUUGAACUAAACCAAAAAUAUAGAGAUGUAAAAUUACAUUUAAAAAUUUUAUCCAACCCUGAAAUUAGUCAUUUCAAAUUUUAACCCACAGACACAUUUUAUUUUAAUAAUAAGCAAAAUAAAGUUAUUCAAAAGAGUUUCAUUAGGUCUUUAGUACACCGCUCAUAAUUAAUGAUUCAGCUUAUUUGUGCAUAUGUAAUGACUAAACAUAAUGUUGGUAAAAUGCUUUAUUAAAAAUGCUAUUAUACAUGUUGUACAAGUUUGGUGUUCAUUUUUUCACAAAUAACACUUUUUUAUCUACUGUGAUGAACCACACAGUUUUAUUGAAAAUUUCUUUUUAAUUAGUUGCUAUAGAAGCCAGAUAAACUGGGUUAUAGAUGCAUGUACUGUCUUCACAUAAAAAUAUAAAGUAAUGAUUGUAAAAUGUAUUCUACUGAACAUAAUAGGUCAUCAUUCAAAGCAUAAACAGCUACAUAUUUUCUUCAAGGUAAGCUGGAGCAGAAUUCUAGCUUUCAAUAAACACUUUAAAAUGGAUAUUACAACUCGAGUUUAGGGCUUCUUGUAGGACUUAAAGUUAUUAAAUAUGCUUAUAUUAGAGCAGUGUGUUGCAUUACUACAUCAAAUUUAUUGCUAUAGUAUAUUAUAGUAAUGUAUGUGGUCUAAAUGUGUUCUACAGUGUGUUAGGUCUGUCGUAUUCCUGUAAUGUAGAACAGUCAUGGGUGUUUGUCUUCCUACAAAUGCUCGGAAAUAAAUAAAUAGGCUACUUUGUGAAGGAGUUAGGACAUAAAAUAUAUAUAAUAUAUAAUAUUAUUCAAUAAUUACCACAAAUCGCCAGGGAAAAUGUGAUUAUAUUAAAUUUUUGUGAUUUGUCCCACCAUACGCCGUUCAAACUGACUUACGGCGCUGUGGGAUGUUUGGAACUGAGAGCUCCAUGAACCACGUGACCGCGAGUCGGCGAGUUCAAAGAGUGUCGUAACGCUCUCUUUCUACAGCUCUGACAGAACCCUGCCCUCCUCUCCCAAUGAUUGGACAGGAAUUCGAGAAAUGUGAUUGGUAGCUAAGACUUGUGCUCUCAUUGGUUCCACCCAAGUUCCUCCCACUGACGCUAGAAUCGAGACAAAAAGAUCCGUAACACUGUAGAUUUGAGGUUUGUACCUGUAGAAUGAAAUGUGUGUUUUAAGAGUUUUGAUUUCAAACUUGUACCUUGAUUUUUUCAAUUUGGAAGUCUGCUAGUUACAAAACGAAAGUUUCAUGUUUCUGAAUGAAUGUUUGAUGUUACAAAAUGAGUAGUAAAUGUACAAAAUAAAAGUUUGAUUCGACAAAAUAAAAAAUACAUGUACAAAAUACAAUGUUCCUGUUACAAAACAAGAAAUACAAGUACGAAUUGAGAAUUACAAGUUAGAAAACUAAAGUUACAAGUUACGAAUCCAAAGUUACAAGUUACGAAUCCAAAGUUACAUGUGAUGAAACAUGUUCGAAGUUACAAAACUUGGUACAAGUUUCGCUGAAAAUUGUCCCAAUCCUAGCUCCAUAACUUUCACAUAAGUUCACGUUCAAGCACAUACACAUCUGUUUCCCAAGUAUCUGAGUCAUUCCCCUUGAAGCAGGAAUAGCAAAUGUAACCAAAUUGUUUAAUAAUACAGAGAAAUAUGAGCAGACUGCCGCUCUCUGAUGAGCUGCUGAAAGUCUGUGACAUGGAUCUCAGUCUGGGGACCAAUUGUGUAUUCUGGUAAAAGAAGGCUCAUAGACUUAUGUUAAAGCACAGCCCUGCCCCAUGAUAUAAAGGCUGAAUGUCACCCAUGCAGCCCUAAAACCUUUUCAUCACUGACCAUUUUUCUCUCCGUCCUGAGCAUACGAAAUGUGUUUUAAGAUUUACUUCUCUCUUGGGAAUAUUCUUCAACAAAACGCCUCUGCAUACAGUGUGUGUGUUAGAGUGAAAUGCCUCUUCUUUGGCUGAACGAUCCUCAUUUAUAAGGCCACUGGAGGUUGUCGUGUGACUCGAGGCAGCACUUAAACUCUAUGAACUGGUGAAUACGUGUGUUAAAAUAGCGUCUGUGGCCGUGCUGCUAAAUGUGCCGUACUUGAGGCAAUCCUUCCCCUCUGGCUUUUACUCUGGCAAUGUUAUUGUGUGCAAAUGUCUCUUAUCGCUCUCAAUAACUUGCAUCAGUGAGAAACAUCUUUAAAUGAUGAUGUGUUCUUCCUUCCCACACAGAUCUCAAAUUUGACCCUGUGACUGAGCCUUAAAAGCAUGAAAAAUGUAAAAAGCAGGGUUUUUUUUGUGUUUGAGCAAUACUUUUCUGUUUUUUAUAUGCUGAUUUAUGAUAUGUACAUCUUUUUUUGUUGUUUUUAUUACUUCCGUGGGUCGCUUUGGUAACCAUGUGGUCUAUGAGCUGCUGUAAUAUUUAGCUUUAUAGGGUGUGGGCCCCUCCUGUUUCAUUCCAACAUCAACUUUGAACCUGCUAUUAUAAGUUUCAUGCAUUAGAGUAUUUUUGUUUGUUUGUUGUCCUCCCUCUGGGUUUUAAGUGAUGAAGAAAUCCAGCCUGGCAAGCUUUCUGAUCACAGCUGAGAGGCUGUAUUGCUGCCCUCCCUUUCCCUCUGUAACUCCUGUGUGGGAUGACCUUUGACAUCCGUAAAAAUUCAACAGAGGCUUAAGGCAACUGUUAAUUCUCAUUAGUGAUCAGUGUUGGGAGUAACGCGGUACAAAAGUAAUUAACUACUGUAAUGCAUUGCUUUUUGCUGUAAUGUGGUAAUGUAAGGCAUUACAGGGAAAGAAAAUGGUAAUAUUUACUCGGUACAAUUGUCAGUAACGCGGUAAUUACAACGCAUUUUUAAACCCAGAAUCAAGAUGCGGGUUUCCUAAAAAUUCAAAUUGCGGGAAGCCUGAAAAAAGAUCCAGUAUCCACAUAUAUGACGUCAUUUAUGGACUCAGCUUUGCAGGCAUUCUAUGAGCAGAAAGGACGCAGCGGUAAUGGCUCAAAUACUCCAGCUGGGUCCUGCACGCGGCCGCUGUUAUAUUCACAAAAUCGCUCCACCAAAACAAAGUCAUUCAUUUGCGAUCGUUUAUAUCAGCCCAUAUUCUCUGGUACUUCAUGUAAUUUUCAGCUGAGUUCAUAAUCUGUGCGCCAGUGAUUUCAACUCAUUGCUGCUGGAGCGCAGCGCGAAGCUUUUUUAUUUUUUAUUUUUUUUUUUUUGCGUUCGGUAGAUCCCUUUGGCUGAUUAGUUAGAAAGUAGGAAAUCUAGUUUACAGUUUUUCUGGAAGACGGAGAAAGCAUGCAGCAUGCAGGAAGGUUAGAGAGAGAAAAGGGCAAGAAGUUAUUCAAAAUCAAGAAAACAAAACAAAGUGCUUGAAAAGAAAAAAGUAGGUAGAUUUAUCCCCAUUACACGUUUUUUACCAGUGAAAAGCAAUAAUAUACAUAAGCAUUUAAUAUUUUUACAUGUGAUAGAGUCAGAUCACCCCAGAAGUCAGUGCCACAUGCAGGGCCGUAUCAAGGCAUUUGGGGACCAAGGCAAAUAGGCUUGGAGCCCCCACCACCUCACUCCCUCAGUUAAUCUAAGAUGGCAGCGUGCUGAGAGUACAGAUUGUUGUUGCAUUUAUUUAAUAAACAAUCGUUUUAAAGCAUUGUUAUUAUAUCUGACUGUUUUUAACAGCAAUCCUAGCUCAGACACCACAUCACCUUCCACAUGUAUGUCAUGAGCUCACUGAGCGUCAGACUACCAGAUUCAUAUUGAAGUUGUUUUGGUGAAAGUUACUUCAAGUAAUGCAAAAGUAGUGUAAUGCCUUACAUUUUAAAAUCAGUAAUAUUGUAAUGUAAUUAAUUACUUUAAAAUGAGGGUAACAAGUAAUAAAUAAUGCAUUACAGUUUUGAAGUAACUUGCCCAACACUGUUAGUGAUGUACAGCUGGGCGUCAUUCAAAGUUAUUUGUUUUGCUGUAGACAAAAUGUACAACUUUAUGUGACCAGGGUGGUUUUGGAAUUAGAUGGAGUUUUUUAAUUGGCUGCUGUUUGCAGAUUGAGCCACUAUGUGUCUCCAAAUGUUUCACAUCCAACUUUUAUUUAUCAGUUAUUAUAAGGUUGUGUUUUGUGUGUGCUUGCCCUCAGUACUAGAAUGCAACAAAGUGAGAACAGAGCCUAAAAGGCUUUAAAUAGGGGCUGUUAUUACUUGGUCAGUUUUACAGAUAAUAAACUAAAAUUCGAUGCAAUGAUAGUUGAGAGUUAUUCUCAACCCAUACUGUAAGUGUUAAAAUAUUGCAUUAGAUUUUACAACAUUAUGUGAAAUUAUUAAUUCAUUCACUGCCAGCCGUUUCCUGAUCAGAGAAGGCCUUCACUGCUAUUGUUUUUCAGAGUUUUCACAGUAUUUUUUUAAGAGUCACAGAAAGUUGCACACUAGGAUGAUGUCACGCCAAAACUACGAAAACAAGGAGUAGACUUACCUCUUACAUCAGGCAGAAACCGCGCGUUUCGAGCAUUAUCCGUUCUUUCAUAAUCCGUUAUUUGGUCUAAAACAUGCUGGAAGCAGACUGCAGCACCAGGUAUGUCAGCUCAAUUGGUGGCACCACUCUGUAGCAAGUGUGGAGUCUGAGUAUCUUUUCACUAACCCUAUAAAGUAUAAUUUUAGCACAUAUUGGCUCAAGAAAAUUAUUCAAAAAAUAUGAAAAAGUUGCAUAGUGUGGCUUUAAAAUUCGACAGAGUUAUGUUUGUGUACCUUGUGUGCCUCAUAUUCUUUGUAUUUGCUCCAAUGACCAUAAGAGCCAAGGUGGCCUAUCAGAAAACACCCAGAACAUCAGCAGGUCCAUCUCUGCAUCUCUUGGACCUUGUUGAUACUCCGUGCAUAGUGGUACACUGGGAAUUCUGUUGCCAGCCUGUAAUCUGAGCAUCUUAUCAAAUCAAUCAGCGCCUUCCCAGUUAGAGCAUGUCUCGACCGCGACAAAAGGGGGUUUCACAACAUCUGAUGCUCCCAGAGAGAACGGAAAAGGGAGGGAGGAGGGGAGUUAGCGUGAAAAGAUAGUGGGAGAACUGUCUUGUUGGUCUGGCAUGGAGAUUUCUGUUCAAUUCAGCGCAACAUCCUGCUUUCUUCUCUGAUACAGGUCACCAAGAGGGCAGGUAACUGUCAGUGCUUGCCCACUGCAGAGCAGAACAUUCAUGCAUCUAUGAUGGUAACUUUCUUUAAUGCCUAGGUUGUUC